This 590-nucleotide long non-coding RNA is filed under the name Populus trichocarpa (black cottonwood). Its description in RNAcentral is "long non-coding RNA (PTRI_LNC003675)". The record is from RNAcentral. Lineage: Eukaryota; Viridiplantae; Streptophyta; Magnoliopsida; Malpighiales; Salicaceae.
CCUUAACACAUCUUUUCAUACAAAAGAACUCUGUUUUUCCUAAAUUUAGAGCAUGCUGAAAUAUUCAGAGCCAUCGUUUAUUUGAAAAAAAAAAAUUGAAGCUGAGGUCGCGGCUAGUGCUGCUUGUGUGUGAUGAAGUUGAGGUCACGGCUGGUGCUGCUGAUAUGUGUCUCGGCUGAGAAAACGAGAAGUCACGAGGGAGAAGAUAAAAAAAGAAAUGAGGAAGAGCCAAGGUGAGGGGGGUGACGAGGCUAUCAAAGACUUUGUUGAGCUUGAGGGUUGUCGGUGGAGGAGUAAUCAACGACUAUUUUUUACGAGGAGAUGAAACGGAGCUGCUGGGAAUAUCGAUGGAGGGGGACUGUUGAUGGUAGGUGUUGGUGUACAAGAUGGCCUUGUGCGAGUGGUGUUGAUGGUGGAACUGAGAUGGAGAGAAACCAUAGGUAAGGGAUGAGGAGGAAAUGGCAUUUAUUGUUUGACCAAAAAUGAGAAGGCUAGAGGAAUUGAUUGUCCAGACAACAGUGAAAUAAAUGAGAGAUAACUCUCUGUUUUUUAUUCUAUGAAUGGGAGAUUUGAUGCAGGUAAAUAGAGAA